GCCUGGGUAGCUCAGUGGUAGAGCACGUACUUGGUAAGUACGGGGUCGUGGGUUCAAUCCCCACCUCAGGCUCCA
RNAcentral lists this transfer RNA (75 nucleotides) under Candidatus Woesebacteria bacterium RIFOXYA1_FULL_43_16. Its description in RNAcentral is "tRNA-Thr". It matches the Rfam family "tRNA". From Rfam's summary of the family: Transfer RNA (tRNA) molecules are approximately 80 nucleotides in length. Their secondary structure includes four short double-helical elements and three loops (D, anti-codon, and T loops). Further hydrogen bonds mediate the characteristic L-shaped molecular structure. tRNAs have two regions of fundamental functional importance: the anti-codon, which is responsible for specific mRNA codon recognition, and the 3' end, to which the tRNAs corresponding amino acid is attached (by aminoacyl-tRNA synthetases). tRNAs cope with the degeneracy of the genetic code in two manners: having more than one tRNA (with a specific anti-codon) for a particular amino acid; and 'wobble' base-pairing, i.e. permitting non-standard base-pairing at the 3rd anti-codon position. RNAcentral also lists the same sequence under 3 other names. The record is from RNAcentral. Lineage: Bacteria; Candidatus Woeseibacteriota.